RNAcentral lists this ribosomal RNA (206 nucleotides) under uncultured bacterium. RNAcentral describes it as "partial 16S ribosomal RNA". It matches the Rfam family "Bacterial small subunit ribosomal RNA", at positions 568 to 774 of the family's 1533-position model. The record is from RNAcentral.
AGCGUAGACGGUGUGGCAAGUCUGAUGUGAAAGGCAUGGGCUCAAUCUGUGGACUGCAUUGGAAACUGUCAUACUUGAGUGCCGGAGGGGUAAGCGGAAUUCCUAGUGUAGCGGUGAAAUGCGUAGAUAUUAGGAGGAACACCAGUGGCGAAGGCGGCUUACUGGACGGUAACUGACGUUGAGGCUCGAAAGCGUGGGAGCAAACA